ACGUAGGGUGCAAGCGUUAAUCGGAAUUACUGGGCGUAAAGCGUGCGCAGGCUGUUUUGUAAGUCAGAUGUGAAAUCCCCGAGCUCAACUUGGGAACUGCGUUUGAAACUACAAGACUAGAAUAGGUCAGAGGGGGGUAGAAUUCCACGUGUAGCAGUGAAAUGCGUAGAGAUGUGGAGGAAUACCAAUGGCGAAGGCAGCCCCCUGGGAUCAUAUUGACGCUCAUGCACGAAAGCGUGGGGAGCGAACAGG
Molecule: ribosomal RNA, 252 nt
Filed under: uncultured bacterium
Lineage: Bacteria
Description: partial 16S ribosomal RNA
Rfam family: Bacterial small subunit ribosomal RNA
Source: RNAcentral